GUCCGUUUUCAUUUCAAUUUUGUAACUGUUAAUUGUAUAUAUCCGUCUGAGUACUGUUUAACUAUCAUUCAAGUUGAACAUAUUUAGACUCGUCCAGUUCAGGGGAAUUAGGUUUCUGCAAGUGCUUUUUAUGUACUUUUCUUAUAUUUUUGCCGGUUUGUAAGUCAGUAAAAGUUCAAUGAUUAAGUUAAUAUUGACAUUAAAAGACCUCCUCACAAAAAGGGCUGUUCAAAUCU
RNAcentral lists this long non-coding RNA (236 nucleotides) under Mytilus galloprovincialis (Mediterranean mussel). The record is from RNAcentral. Lineage: Eukaryota; Metazoa; Mollusca; Bivalvia; Mytilida; Mytilidae.